CGUCGAUUUGCCUCUAAUUAUGGCAAAGUUUCUACUAUUGAUUCUCACCUUCUUACAUUCUAAUUUAAAAAGUAUAGAAUAGGUAAAUAAACUUUGUGGUAGUUACUAGUUGGUUAUUGAUAAUCUUGAGAAUUAGAUUGAUGGCUAGGAAGUUUAGUGUCACGGACACAAAAUACAGACUUGAAAUCUAACAAGAAGUUCAAGAAGAAGUGGCAAAACUAGAUUAAACAGAUGAGUACAAGAACAACACCAGAAAGGU
RNAcentral lists this long non-coding RNA (259 nucleotides) under Physcomitrium patens. RNAcentral's name for it is "long non-coding RNA (PPAT_LNC000502)". The record is from RNAcentral. Lineage: Eukaryota; Viridiplantae; Streptophyta; Bryopsida; Funariales; Funariaceae.